CUGUGCUGUCUCUGCUCUGCUACCCAGCGCGCAGCUUAAUAAGACCGGUGCCCCAGUCUCAUUAAGUAGCGUGCAAGUGCGGGGGAGCAGAGCAGAGACAGCACAGGU
Non-coding RNA from Pelobates cultripes (western spadefoot toad), 108 nucleotides. The record is from the annotation of a GenBank genome assembly. Lineage: Eukaryota; Metazoa; Chordata; Amphibia; Anura; Pelobatidae.